CCUACGGGUGGCUGCAGUGGGGAAUAUUGGACAAUGGGCGAAAGCCUGAUCCAGCCAUGCCGCGUGUGUGAAGAAGGCCUUCGGGUUGUAAAGCACUUUCAGUGGGGAAGAAAGCCUUGGGGCUAAUACCCUCGAGGAAGGACAUCACCCACAGAAGAAGCACCGGCUAACUCCGUGCCAGCAGCCGCGGUAAUACGGAGGGUGCGAGCGUUAAUCGGAAUUACUGGGCGUAAAGCGCGCGUAGGCGGUCUGAUAAGCCGGUUGUGAAAGCCCCGGGCUCAACCUGGGAACGACAUCCGGAACUGUCAGGCUAGAGUGCAGGAGAGGAAGGUAGAAUUCCCGGUGUAGCGGUGAAAUGCGUAGAGAUCGGGAGGAAUACCAGUGGCGAAGGCGGCCUUCUGGACUGACACUGACGCUGAGGUGCGAAAGCGUGGGUAGCAAACAGGAUUAGAUACCCUAGUAGUC
RNAcentral lists this ribosomal RNA (465 nucleotides) under Vreelandella stevensii. RNAcentral's name for it is "partial 16S ribosomal RNA". It matches the Rfam family "Bacterial small subunit ribosomal RNA", at positions 338 to 795 of the family's 1533-position model. Lineage: Bacteria; Pseudomonadati; Pseudomonadota; Gammaproteobacteria; Oceanospirillales; Halomonadaceae. The record is from RNAcentral.